RNAcentral lists this ribosomal RNA (615 nucleotides) under Patellaria atrata. RNAcentral describes it as "mitochondrial SSU rRNA". It matches the Rfam family "Bacterial small subunit ribosomal RNA", at positions 348 to 857 of the family's 1533-position model. The record is from RNAcentral. Lineage: Eukaryota; Fungi; Ascomycota; Dothideomycetes; Patellariales; Patellariaceae.
GAGGUAUUUAAAAACUAUAAAAAGUUUGAAAAAACAAAGUUUUUUUUACCGGAACGAUUAUAUCGUAUGAAGUUCUAGAUAGAAUAAUGAUAAUGACAAUUUUCUAUCUAUAUGUCUUGACCAAAUCUCGUGCCAGCAGUCGCGGCAAGACGAGAAAGACUAGUGUUAUUCAUCUUUAUUAGGUUUAAAGGGUACCUAGACAGUAUUUCUAGCCCCCAAAGGGUACGGAUUUACUAGAGUUUUAUGUGGGAGGCAAAUAUAAGUACUAUUAAUGUAGAGAUGAAAUUCUUUAAUAUUUCUAGGACUGAUAAAGGUGAAGACAACCCUCUAUGUAAAAACUGACGUUGAGGGACGAAGGCUUGGGGCGCGAAUAGGAUUAGAUACCCUAGUAGUCCAGGCAGACAAUUAUGAGUGCCAUAAACUAGAUAAUAUUGCAAAUAUUAGUUUUUAAACCAAAAUAGAUGUAGUUAUGUCAGAUUAUUACCACACAUUCUAAUAAUUACGGAUUGAUUAGUAUUCAGAUUAUCUCAACCUGAAUAAAUAAUGGAUGGAAAUAUACCUACGCCCUCUAGAAACAAUGCAUGGUAAUAUACGACUAAAAAUAGUAACUCUCUG